This 111-nucleotide microRNA precursor is filed under the name Solanum lycopersicum (tomato). RNAcentral's name for it is "MIR398 microRNA precursor family". It matches the Rfam family "MIR398 microRNA precursor family". RNAcentral also lists the same sequence under 1 other name. Lineage: Eukaryota; Viridiplantae; Streptophyta; Magnoliopsida; Solanales; Solanaceae. The record is from Rfam by way of RNAcentral.
UGAAUCCCCAGAGGAGUGUGCCUGGAAACACAGGUGCAUUUUGGUCUUUUUUUAAAAAAAAUUGCGGACCAAAGUACACUUGUGUUCUCAGGUCACCCCUUUGGGAUCACC